RNAcentral lists this long non-coding RNA (2322 nucleotides) under Astyanax mexicanus (Mexican tetra). RNAcentral describes it as "lncRNA (ENSAMXG00005001457.1)". The record is from RNAcentral. Lineage: Eukaryota; Metazoa; Chordata; Actinopteri; Characiformes; Acestrorhamphidae.
AUCAUCAAGAACAUUAUUACCACACCAUUUCCUUAAUUAACAUUAUUACCAUCACUAUUACCACUUUCUCCACAUCAUCAUCAUCAUCAUCAUCAUCAUUAUCACUGUCCUCAUUUUCACCUCAGGUGAUUAAAAUAUAAUAUAAUGUUGUGGGUUUUACAGUUUUAAAGCUGUCUGUCUGUCUGUCUGUCUCUCUCUCAGCACCUGCGUCUGUCUCUGACGGAGUGGGGUCAGUGUCGGGUUCAGCACCUCCGUUUCCCCUCUGUAGUCGACAUGCUCGCCCACUUCCGCAUCUCCCCAAUCCCACUGGAGUGUGGGGCAGCGUGUGACGUCCUAUUGGCCAGUUACAUCCUGGCCACGCCCACUCACUCAGGUCAUUGUUCUGCUCUGGGAACUCCAGUUCUGGUGCCUUUCUCUCGCUGCAGUUCAGAACCGAGUCUGGCUCACUGUGGCCUCGACCCGUUUGCUCACUCGCCUCCAUCGAGCGCUCCACCCACCGGGGCCUCCAACACUCCCAUGCACCGCCCACCGCUCUCCGAUCGUCCGGCUCCUCCCCCCGAUCGCCUGGGCCCCGCCCCCCUGCGCCGCAGCGAGUCUGUGGGCCGCCGGACACUCCUCCGCCACCCCAACCCACUGCCCCCUCUCCUCCACAGCCGCGACUCGGAUUACGAACUGGAGCCGCCCGACAGGGGGCGCAAGAGAGCCAUCGACAACCAGUACAUGUUCUUCUGAUGGAGAGAACGAAGCAAGACGUCAAGAACGCAAGAAAACAGCAGCAGCAGCAGCAGCACAGAACGACCGACCGACGACCGCUUCUGGAACAGAGCACUCUCCAGCCAGACAGAAGUGGCUUCUUUCUCCAGUAGGGGGCGCAAUAGAAGAAGCCAGCAGAUUCACCAGCGUUCUCUGGUGCGGGAGAGAGGGAGGGUCUUCCUUUAGUCACUUAACUGUGGGGGGAGGUGGUCCAGAAAGCCCUCCUCGUGCAGAACUGCCGUGACGCAGGGUCCGUUAAACCAAACUCCUGUUCCGUAAAUCAAAAAUCCGUAAAUCGUAACUGAUAACGGGUCAGAACGGGUCAGAACUGAUAACCGAUAACGCGUCGCAGAACGCGGAGGGUCUCCUGCAGGGUCACGAGGAUGGCGGCAGAUUGUGUCUCUGUGCAGAGCUCACGUAACAGACGCACUCUUCACUAAUCCCUUUUGCAUUAGUGAGAGGUCUGACAAUCACGUCCACCUUGAAUGUAUUUUUUAAGAGUUUUUGCCACUAUUAAGUAGGGAGAAGUCAAACGGACAGGAGACAGCAUCCGCCAGAGUACAGCUUCUCCACUCCGGUCAACAAGAACCGAAGAGUUCAGAAGAGUUCAGACGUUGGGUUGGUGUGACUUGCCUUUGUGGAAAAAAAAAGAGUGUGCUCAGUUCCAUCUGUGGAGAGUUACAGCCCUGAAGAGCUUAGUUUCAACAAAAUAGCCCAAAAUGUCUCAAUUGGUGCCUCAAGUGGCACCACAAAGAUACUUUAAGGACUUUAAAGAGUUCUGGUUGGUAGGUACAGUAUGUUGUCAAAAGUAUUUACUGGUAGUAUGAGAUGUUGGCCAAUAUGAUGUCAGCCCAACAUUUUGCAUCUAUAACAGCUUCAACUUUUCCUGAGAGGCUUUCCUCAAGGUUUAGGAGUGUGUUUAUGGUCAUUCUUGACCGUUCUUCUUAAAGAAGAGCAUUUGUAGGUCAAAAACUGAUGCUUGACAAUAAGAUCUGGCUCACAGUCUCCACUCCAAACUCACCAGAUCAUCCAUCUCCAUCUUUAUGGAGCUUACUUUAUGCUCUGGUGCACAGUAGUCAUGUUGGAACAGGAAGGGAAUGUUCCCAAACUUACCGCAAAGUUAGGAGUGUGAAACUGAAGGUCAUGAUCUGGUUGGUCAGGUUUGUUUGAUUAGAACUGAAACUGAAGUCUGGGCUGCAGUAAAUCUUCAGGACUGAAAUUGAGCUCCUCCUAUAGAGCAGUGCUCUUUAAAGCAGCUCUUGGGAUGCUGCAGAAGGUCCAGAUAUGUGUUAGCGUUAGCACUUGUCGCUGUAUAAGUGGCGUUACCCAGAAUUGCUUAAGCCCAAAGAUCAUCCCACACUUCAGAAACUCCACAGUCAGUUCCGUUCCAAACCCCCAACACUCCUGAUUACAGUGAUGAAGAGCCUGACAGCACUUUUCAACUGAUCCAAGUGUUGGACCUGGAGUAGAGCACGAACAUCAACACGAGGACUGGGGACUCGGGCAGGCGUGUGAUGUAUUACUUAAUUAUUAAAUAAAUCAGAUUACUGAGUGUUGGACUAGGAAAAG